This 253-nucleotide ribosomal RNA is filed under the name uncultured bacterium. Its description in RNAcentral is "partial 16S ribosomal RNA". It matches the Rfam family "Bacterial small subunit ribosomal RNA", at positions 524 to 776 of the family's 1533-position model. The record is from RNAcentral.
UACAGAGGGUGCGAGCGUUAAUCGGAAUUACUGGGCGUAAAGCGCGCGUAGGCGGCUUUGCAAGUCGGGUGUGAAAUCCCCAGGCUUAACCUGGGAACUGCAUUCGAGACUGCAUUGCUAGAGUAUGGGAGAGGGAAGUGGAAUUUCCGGUGUAGCGGUGAAAUGCGUAGAGAUGCGGAGGAACACCGAUGGCGAAGGCAGCCCCCUGGGCCAAUACUGACGCUCAGGCACGAAAGCGUGGGGAGCAAACAGG